AUUGAACGCUGGCGGAAUGCUUUACACAUGCAAGUCGAACGGCAGCACGGACUUCGGUCUGGUGGCGAGUGGCGAACGGGUGAGUAAUACAUCGGAACGUGCCCAAUCGUGGGGGAUAACGUAGCGAAAGCUACGCUAAUACCGCAUACGAUCUAAGGAUGAAAGCGGGGGAUCGCAAGACCUCGCGCGAUUGGAGCGGCCGAUGGCAGAUUAGGUAGUUGGUCGGGUAAAGGCCUACCAAGCCGACGAUCUGUAGCUGGUCUGAGCGGAUGAUCAGCCAAACUGGGACUGAGACACGGCCCAGACUACUACGGGAGGCAGCAGUGGGGAAUUUUGGACAAUGGACGCAAGUCUGAUCCAGCCAUUCCGCGUGCAGGAUGAAGGCCCUCGGGUUGUAAACUGCUUUUGUACAGAACGAAAAGGCUCUGGUUAAUACCUAGGGCUCAUGACGGUACUGUAAGAAUAAGCACCGGCUAACUACGUGCCAGCCGCCGCCGUAA
This 500-nucleotide ribosomal RNA is filed under the name uncultured bacterium. RNAcentral's name for it is "partial 16S ribosomal RNA". It matches the Rfam family "Bacterial small subunit ribosomal RNA", at positions 30 to 523 of the family's 1533-position model. The record is from RNAcentral.